Molecule: ribosomal RNA, 220 nt
Filed under: uncultured eukaryote
Lineage: Eukaryota
Description: partial 18S ribosomal RNA
Rfam family: Eukaryotic small subunit ribosomal RNA
Source: RNAcentral
CAGGUCUGUGAUGCCCUUAGAUGUUCUGGGCCGCACGCGCGCUACACUGGUACGCUCAACGAGUAUAUAACCUUGAUCGAUAGGUCUGGGUAAUCUUUUGAAUACGUAUCGUGCUAGGGAUAGAUUAUUGCAAUUAUUAACCUUGAACGAGGAAUUCCUAGUAAACGCAAGUCAUCAGCUUGCAUUGAUUACGUCUCUGCCCUUUGUACACACCGCCCGU